AGGAUGAUCUCAUUCUAAGUGGACUGAAUGGGGUACUGAUUCUGUUUUGGAUCGGUAGGCCUGUGUGGCAUUCACAAUGCAAGCAUCCUGUCCUUGAAGAAGUCCAGAGAAAACAUAGAUGUGAAAGCCCACAACAUGAAAGGAACGAGGACAUAUGUCCUUGGAAUCAUGAGCUGCUGUGAAAAAAGCCUAUGACCCUGAAGCCACUAUGUUGGAGAGACUUAAUGGAAAGGCCCAUUUGGAGAGGAGAGGCCAUCAGUCAGAAGCAGGCAUCAACUACCUGACAUAGGAGGGUAGCUGUCUUUAGAUGAUUGCACUUCCUCAUCUUUGAGUCUUCCAUCUGAGACCGCAGACGUUAUAAGGCAUAGAAAAGCCACCUCUGUUGUACCCUGUUGGACUUCUUAAUCCAUAAAACCUAAGAGCAAAAUAAAUGGCUGCUUUAUAUUAUACAUGUUUAUUAGUGUGAGAGCAAUCUGUUAUGUGACCAUAGUAACUGAAGCAACAAUGAAGAAAAUAAUUUAAAACUAGCUGAUCUACUAUACAUAAUGGUUCCCAGACUCAUAUACUAAGACUCUCCAUAAGAAGUCUUCUACUGGCCAUCUGUCUCCUUAGGGUCUGGCUUUCUACCAUGUUGUAAAGACUGCUCUACUGCUCAGUUGGAAUAUCUUGAAGAGAUCUUGCCACUUCCUAUUUGAAUUCAGGCCCUCAGAAAGGAAAAACAGCAUCCUAAAGAAGAAAAAAAUUCUAGAUAUUUGAAACAUCACUGGCAAUGAAUACUUAGCCAAUGACAGUCCAUGGAAAGUGCCUGAGCACCUUAAUAAUUCACAGCUUUUCAUGCCAUAUGGGUUCCUUGCUUAUUUUUACCUAGCCAAACUAUGUUUUAAAUUGUCUUAUCCUAAAGUGAAAAUGUGGUCUUCUCCUAGAGAUGAGUAGAAUCUUUAAUGUUUAGAGAAAUAGAAAAGCUAUUGACUGCUUUAAAAAUGGCAUGUUUUUUCAUUUUUCAAAAAUAUUAAGGUCAAUACUCAAACAUAAAACCUAAUGAUUUCUAUUCUAUUCAAGAAGGUGGAUUUGGAAGAGGUCAAGAGACCAUUUCACUUUAAGGCACAUUGCUUUUCUUGCUAUCAAUCUAAGGGUGGGUGACAGGAAGAGAUGAGAUGUUCAAAAGAGACUUACCCUAUUCUAUAUUAAAGAAAGUAAGAGAUGUGAAUGGAGCAGUAUCCCAAAAUUAAGGGGAAGCUGCUGGUUUUGUUGUCAUAAAAUAAGAAGAAUGAAAUUCAGCAAACAAUCCACAUUCUUCAACUAAAUUAUUCCUGAAGGGCAUUUGCUUUUUAAAGCUUUAAACAUCAAAUAUAGUUUUCUGGGAGUUUUUCUUCAUUUUUUUAGUAAUGGAUUGUCACCUUGUCAUCUGUCUCUCAGACCACUCUUCUUUAGUAGUUUGUGAAACCAGAGAAAGUAUCACUUAAAUUAUUUGUCCUUGUGUAUCUUAUUUUCAAAAGCAGGAUUCCAGGGGCAGUUGGGAGAUAAAAGAAAAAAAUCUAUAUCUCUUAUGUUCUAUUAAAUCACUGGAUCACUUGUUUUUGUCAACAAUAACACCAUCUGGUCUGUUAAAAAUUGAUUUAAUAAAUAUGCUAUGUGACAUCAACUGCCCAGACAGAUUUGCUCAAGGGACUAAUGCCCAGAGUUUGAGAAUCUUUGCAGGACUCAUUAGUAUACAUUUGAUGGAGGAAUGCCCUCUGAAUUCCAGGUGCCCAUAGGGGAUUUGCAUAUCAUAGAGCUGAGGGGUUGUCCUCAGAGAAUUACAGUCUGAUCCUUUUCCUUAAUAUUUGUUCCCCUGUAGGGUCACUUGUCAGCCUCCUUUGCUCUUGAAGAGGGUGAGUCAUUUUUUUUUCUUUUUUUCUGGAGACGGGGUCUUGCUUUGUCACCCAGGCUGAAGGGGAGUCGUGCAAUCACGGCUCACUGCAGCCUUGACCUCUGAGGGCUCAAGUAAUCCUCCCACCUCAGCCUCUUGAGCAGCUGAAGUCACAGGUGCGUGCCACCACUCCUGGAUCAUUUAUUUUUAUUCUUAUUUUUUUGUAGACAGGGUCUCUCUAUGUUGCCCAGGCUGAGUCAUUUUGAUUAAACAUGCAGGUCUCUGCUUUAGAGACACCUUUGCAUUUUUUUUUGUUAGGAAAACUACUAUCCUGAAGAUUGUUGAUUCUAUCAUUUAUCCAAAAAAAUGAGAUUCUGAUUAGUCCAAACACAGAAGUCCCUGCAGUAACAGCAGGGUUGUGACCUGCAUCACAAUAAAAAUAGCAUUCAAUAUACCUGCUGCAGAUAAUUUCUAGCAAAGAAUUUGUACUUUAUAAUUCUAUUUUCAUUUUAUCAGUUCGUCUGUGAAUUUUAUCAAUAGCAUUUUAAUCCUUCCUACUUUCUAAAGGACUAGAGUUUUGACCAAUCUGAAGAUCUUUGAGGGAAAGGUUCAAGAUUUUUGCUAAUACAGAGCUGUUUCAGCAUGUUAGCCAGGAUUAAUCAGCCCUUCACAGGAAAUGUUUUCUUAUUAAAGAGGAAAUCUCACCUGUUUUGGUCACUUACCUUGCAAACAAACUUUCUUUUUCAUAGGAGAAAAGCCUGGUGUGAUUCCAGGGUUUCAUUUUCCC
Molecule: long non-coding RNA, 2636 nt
Filed under: Homo sapiens (human)
Lineage: Eukaryota; Metazoa; Chordata; Mammalia; Primates; Hominidae
Description: novel transcript
Source: RNAcentral